RNAcentral lists this ribosomal RNA (551 nucleotides) under uncultured Glomeromycotina. RNAcentral's name for it is "SSU rRNA". It matches the Rfam family "Eukaryotic small subunit ribosomal RNA", at positions 548 to 1098 of the family's 1831-position model. The record is from RNAcentral. Lineage: Eukaryota; Fungi; Glomeromycota.
UUGGAGGGCAAGUCUGGUGCCAGCAGCCGCGGUAAUUCCAGCUCCAAUAGCGUAUAUUAAAGUUGUUGCAGUUAAAAAGCUCGUAGUUGAAUUUCGGGAUUCAUCCGUUGGUCGGGCUUCACGGUCCGUACUGGUGUGAUGGGUUCCUACCUUCUGAAUAACCGGCAUGCCAUUAAUUUGGUGCGCCGGGGAAGCAGAACUAUUACCUUGAAAAAAUUAGAGUGCUUAAAGCAGGCAAGUGCCUGAAUAGGUUAGCAUGGAAUAAUAAAAUAGGACGGCAUGGUUCUAUUUUGUUGGUUUCUAGGAUCACCGUAAUGAUUAAUAGGGAUAGUUGGGGGCAUUAGUAUUCAAUUGUCAGAGGCGAAAUUCUUGGAUUUAUUGAAGACUAACUUCUGCGAAAGCAUUUGCCAAGGAUGUUUUCAUUAAUCAAGAACGAAAGUUAGGGGAUCGAAGACGAUCAGAUACCGUCGUAGUCUUAACCAUAAACUAUGCCGACUAGGGAUCGGACGAUGUUAAUUUUUUAAUGACUCGUUCGGCGCCUUACGGGAAAC